CACCUGCCUCUACCCUCAGGCUCCCACUCCCUAGUCUGCCUCCCUCCACCCUUAGGCCCCGGGAUGGGUGCUGGGAGGAAGUGCCUGAAAGGUCAGCCAGGACUCGGACCCUUGAGCUCAGAGAGACUGAUGAGAGCAGGAAAGGAACUGAAAAGCCUUGGGAGAUACAGGACUGGAGAGCGGAGGGGUGAGGUCAAGGCAGGCCCCCUGGGAGGGGUCCCCAGGGAGGCAGGUGGCACAGGGGCUGAAAUAGGAGGGUGGGUGCAGAGGCCCUGAGGUCUGACAGGAGCACUGAGGAGAGGGCAGGAGUCGUGCUGCUCUGCCUGGUGAAAUAAGCCAAGAGCAGGUUGCUUUCCUUCUGCUCUCUGCUGCCCAUCCCUGGUUUGGGCUCUGCCUGGGGGGUCCCCCAUCUAGCAGAAUCUCACUCCCAGAGCCACUGAUGUGCGAUGUGAACCGCCUGCCUGAGGCUGCCAGCCAUGCUGGAGAGCGGGUCUGCUCUUGUGCAGGGUGCCUGGGCUCCGGCACAUCUUCAUCUUUCCCUGCCCCAGAGCCUAGACCUCCCACUGUAGUCACAAGCCUCAGGGCAGGUCCCUCUCUGGUCCCUGCCUGGGGUCAUGCAGCCUGGUCCCUGUUAGGCCAGAGAGGGAGGGACUCUAGGGCUGCCUAUGUAAAGCAGGAAGGGCAAUCAGGGAAGGCUUCCUGCAAGGGGUGACAUGGCAGCUUGGGGCGAGAUUUAGGCUUAGGGGACAUAAGUUCCUGAGUGGAGCAGAGGCAAAUCCAAGAAUAAAGAAGAUGGCUCGUCACAGAAGCCUCUGCCUCUGGUCUGGAGCCUGCUCCUUUGCUGCCCUCACUGCUCUCCCCUGGUAGCUGGCGCUGAGGAAUGCCCUACGGUACUUCCCCCCGCAUGUCCAGGAGCUACUGGCCCUCGAGUUCGUCUAGCAGCUGCAGCUAGCUGUACAGGUACAUCUACAUGUAUCGGUUCUGCCCUGACUUGGAAAUGAAGUGAGUGUGGGGUUGGGGGGGCAAGCUUCAGAGGCCAGAGUGGGGGGAUUGGGGGUGCUUCCCAGAGGUACCCUGCCCAGGUCGGGACGCAGCCAGAGGGGAGUGCAGGCCGUCCACUUUAGGAGGGCUGUGGCCACAUCCCCCGAGGGCCAGGCUUGGGGCUGCAGCUAGCCCUAGGCAGAAGGACCUGCCUUCCUCACAGUCCCCAGGGGAUGCUGCCUAGCCCUGUAUCACAUUCUGAGCACCAUUGUCCUUGAAAACACCAGAAGGCCAGACUGUCUGGAACAACCCCACAAAGCAGGCACCGUGUCCCCUCGCUCCUGUCCAGGCCUGCUGGCCUGGCACCCUCUCCAGAAUUGCUCAGGAGCCCUGGUGGUGCAAAGGAAAGGACAGGUAAAUAAAGUCUGUCAGGAGGGGAAGCUUCAGCUUUGCUUUGCCAGCAGCUUUCUCCCUGUUGGAGCCUUCCAGGGACUGGGGGAGGGCAUGGGUAGGAUGGGGCUGAACUGCCCAUCCUAGGAAGGGCCAGCAAAGCACAAGUACUUCAGACCCACCUCCUGGCGGGAGCUCUGAGGUACCUCCUGUGGGGUGCCAGGGCUCACUGUCCAUACCUGAGCAGCCCGGGGCUGGGCCGAGGCCAGGCUGGGCCUGAGUUUUAGCAGGAAGGAGGCCUCUGCCCCCUGUCUUUUGUCAUGCCUGGCAGCUGGACUCCCUCGUAGGGACGUGGAACAGUACCGCUGCUGGACUAAAGCCGCUGCAGCCAUCAUGCACAUGAUCAGGAACAACCUGGACCCUGCCUGCUGUGGCCCAGGUGAUUUCCAACUACCCCAGGAUAGAAUGUGAGAAACUCUUUGCCAUGAGGAUUACCAUGUAAGAAAAUAUUCCCUAUACUAAGAAGACAGCAAUUGAGAUGGGAGCUAUGCAUUUGGGGUUCCCUGAAGAUGUAAACUACUUGGAAGUCAACAGAAUUUUGAAUCACCUGCUGAUCACCACUGCUGCUCUGUUAAAAGUGAAGCUUCAAACCUUAGCAAGGGACUGACUCCAGACAUCUUCCUGCAGGACCAGAUCAAAGGAAGAUGGAGUACUGGGGAGAGCAAAUGGAGGGUGAGGGAGACUGGUGGAUGAAAGUAGAAAACAAAAGUUUCAGGGCUCUUUGAAGAGGCAAUUAAGAAAAGUAAUCUGGACAACAAAGAAGGAAAAUCAGGACAAGAUUUAAUUAUGUCCCCAACUUUGCUAGUUGUGUUAGCCCAUGUGUAUUUUCCUGGAGAAAUGAGCAGUAAAAUCCUUCAGUAAUUACUGAAAUAAAAACAACUGAAUUUAAAAGUUAAGCUAAGAAAUCUUCAUUUAAUACUAAAAACAACACAAAAAGUCUUUGUUCUCAAAGACAACAAAGAGUAUGUGAGCUGAGAGGCUGAUGACCAGCUUGUCAAGAAGAGGUCAGAGACAGGAAAAGUGUUUGAAUGAAGAAAGGGGUAAACAGGAUACUACAGUGGGAGAGAAAAGAGUGUGCAAAUAAUAUAGAUUCAAAUCUAGACUAUGCCACUUCUGUGUUAUGAGAUCUUGGGCAGAAUACCAAAAUUCUUCAAGUCUUGCCUUCAUCACUAGCAAAAAAAAAAAAAAAAAAAAAAAAGAAGAAGAAUUAUUAUAAUGACAACAACAAUAUCAUAAGCUGAAUUAUAUCUCCUGCAAAAGUUCAUAGGUUGAGGUCCUAACCAUCAGCUGCUUAGCGUGUGACUGUAUUUGGAGAUAGUGAAGGUUAAAUGAUGUCGGAGUGGACCCAAAUCCAGUAGGAUUGGCAUCCAUAUAAGAAGACAAAGAACCAUCAUAGAUAAGCCCUCAAGGACAAAAGACCCUGUGAGGACACAGCAAGAAAGCAGCCAUCUGCAACCCAAGGAAAGAGGCCUCAGAAGAAACUAACUCUGAAGACAACUUGAUCUUGGACUUCCAGGCUCCAGAGCUGUGAGGAAAUAAAUUCCUGUUUUUU
This 2983-nucleotide long non-coding RNA is filed under the name Sus scrofa (pig). RNAcentral describes it as "lncRNA (ENSSSCG00035008913.1)". Lineage: Eukaryota; Metazoa; Chordata; Mammalia; Artiodactyla; Suidae. The record is from RNAcentral.